Paramuricea clavata is the source of this 277-nucleotide non-coding RNA. The record is from the annotation of a GenBank genome assembly. Lineage: Eukaryota; Metazoa; Cnidaria; Anthozoa; Malacalcyonacea; Plexauridae.
GGGGGGAAGCCUGUGAGUCGUCGAUAUAUCAUUUUCAGUAAUUUGAAAUCCUAAAACUGGUCCAAGUUCCGUGAUGAGCUUUUUUGGGUUAUCGUCAGCCAAGAUUGGUAUGCCCGUUAUCUCUAAACAGUCACGCCUUUGCCAUUGAUUGAUUUCAUCAUUGGCGACAUGUUUACCCUCAUUGUGACAUUCAUGCACUUGAGCGUAUCGUGAAUGACGAAUUACAGAAGGUUUGUUUAUGGCUGGAGGCUAACAAAUUAACACUAAAUAUUAGUAA